AACUCCAAUUUACAAAACAACAGUCUGCUCAUGGUUUUCUAGGCUCAGAAGGAUUUGGGGUAGAAGCAAUUAGGCAGAACAAAGUCAUACCAUUGCAGAUUAGAGAAAAGUUGGAAUUUUUGUGGCCUCCCUGCCUACAAUCUACUGAGCUCCCCACAAUGGCCUAGCCAACUAUGUAAGGGGCAACUUGCAUGCAACAGAUUGUGAGAUUGGCAUGACAAUGGAAAACAUUAAAAUAAAAUAAAAAUGUAAAACA
RNAcentral lists this long non-coding RNA (256 nucleotides) under Physcomitrium patens. RNAcentral describes it as "long non-coding RNA (PPAT_LNC006068)". Lineage: Eukaryota; Viridiplantae; Streptophyta; Bryopsida; Funariales; Funariaceae. The record is from RNAcentral.